Molecule: long non-coding RNA, 571 nt
Organism: Dreissena polymorpha
Lineage: Eukaryota; Metazoa; Mollusca; Bivalvia; Myida; Dreissenidae
Exons: 2
Source: RefSeq, a predicted model, not a curated record
UCAAUUUAAUAUAAAAAUAGAAAAGGACGUCAUGACAUUCCAGACUAUAUAAGGUCAACGGCUACAGUAUGCCAUCAAAAAUUUGUAAACCAAAAUGGCUGUAACAAACAGUGAUGUAAAUCGCCAAUUUUGGGCAGAUAAAAUAAGGCAAUCAAGAAUAGCUUUGGUUGAAACGCACAGUCACGAACAAUGUGGAUAUGUAAUUUGGUCUAAAACCGGUGUCGUUAAAGGAAUUAAUUUCGGCCGAACAUUCCUUGUUCUGAUACGUAUUUGUGUGUGUCGACGUUAUCUAAACAAUCAGCGUCUACUUUCUCAGACCUAUAUCCAUGGACAUGAAUGCAAUGAUGGAGUGGAAUUGCAUGUAGAUGGCGAAUGCCAAUACCUUUCUUUAAACGGGCGUGUGGAAAAAGUUUGUUAUUGUCCAAAAUAAAUAAACAUAUUAAGUGUAACGAAGGGUCCAACAAACAAGAUGGUGAGCUUUUGGACAGACGCCACAUUAGGACCGGUCACAAGGAUUCUACUUGUUCCUUUAAUUUUAUGUAGUAAAUUAUACAAUAAAAUAACAUAAUUA